Molecule: transfer RNA, 64 nt
Filed under: Aradacanthia heissi
Lineage: Eukaryota; Metazoa; Arthropoda; Insecta; Hemiptera; Aradidae
Description: tRNA-Asp
Source: RNAcentral
GGAAAAUUAGUUUAUAAAAACAUUAACUUGUCAAGUUAAAGAUAAUCGUCAAAAUUAUCUUCAU